Molecule: non-coding RNA, 4216 nt
Organism: Paramuricea clavata
Lineage: Eukaryota; Metazoa; Cnidaria; Anthozoa; Malacalcyonacea; Plexauridae
Source: the annotation of a GenBank genome assembly
GCACAGAACAAGUGGAAUGAACAUUGACAGUAGUUCAAAUUUAUAAUAUAUUACAAAGCAUCUUGCCAUGCUGUUUUGACAAAAGAUGAAAAAGGCUGAAAGUUCCAGAAGAAGCCCAAGAAAUUUUAAAUUAUAAGUAUCUUUACGUUCAUUUAAUUUGUAUACAUAGUAUUGAAUGAAACUUUUGUCCGCCGGUCGUGUGCACCAAAACCUAGAUGGUAUUAAAUAUAUUGCUGGUUCAUGGUCUGCACUGAACAUGUCCGGCGCACAUCACUUUAUAUUUUCCACACUGGUUCAUUAUUAUGUGUCGUAGUCUUAUAUUGAAGUGAACCUAUUUCUGGGGAAUGUUGAUAUAUGUUUCUGGACCUGGUUGUAGGCUUGCAGGCUAAAUUACAUAUGCUCGAUAAUACAGGGACAGGGGGAGCGGGGGGGGGGGGCAUGGUCCCCCCACUUUUUCGGUGGAUAAUAAAAAAAUACCAGAAAAAUCCAGCCUGCCUGUGUCGAAUAGCUCCCGUGCUAUCUGCCCCCACUUCAAAACAGGCUCCGCGGUCCCUGUAAUAUGGCCAUUUGUAUGAGCCUAUAAAAACAAAGGUGUAACAUACCCCCCCCCCGGCAUUUGACUUUUUGGAUUUUGCAAUGAUCAAAUCCCCCACCCUGGCGCCCCAAUUAAAAAAAUAGGUACUCUUGUUUGAAUUAUUGACUAUAAAUGUAUCAUAUUAACAGUACAUUAUCAUCCCAUAUAUAAUUAAUAGACAAUCGAUAUUAAUUUAAAAACAUGCAUGGUGAAUCACAGAAAAGCUUUCUCAUGCAACUUCGACUUUGGGCAAUCUUCUAGGAUAUAACAAAAAGUUUUUAUCGGACAAUUUUGACUUAUCAACAGUCAGUCAAACAAACAGUUUCUGAUAGAAACACCUUCAGUUGUCACCCUGUAGAAAGCUGCCAUAUUUGUUUUGCUGCCUGUUGGCAGGCAUACAGCCCUGAUUAGUCGACCUGAGUGUUUAACACACACACACAACUCGAUAGCAUAGUAUCUAGCGCUCCCCGCAGGUACAAAAAUGCAGCUUAAAUGCCCUACAUUCCACAACUAAGUGGUGGUUGAAUGCCCCAUUGUAAAUUUAAUUUGAAGGUCAAAUUCUUCAACUUUCAACUUCCCCAGUCCAUUCUGGUCCAACCAAUCUUUGAACAUAUAAAUUCACAUUUUGACUUUGAAAAUCUUUUAAUAAAAAUUUCACAAGUCUAUCUAUAAUACUGUAUACGUAGUCUUCAUGUUAGACAAACUAAAAAUUUUAGUUGUGGUCAAAUCCCUGUCUUCGAUCAUUAUAAGUGGAAUCAAAUGCCCCACCACUUUAAGUUUUCUUGACAACAAAUGCCCACCCCUGGGGAAAAUUACAAAUGGCAAAUGCUCCUCUCGUGCCCUGGGGAUGUUACAUCUAACAUCUUCAUUUUGGUUGGUGCAUUAUUGCCUGAAGGUACUGUAGUGCUCGUUAAUAAAACAAUGUACUAGAAAAUACAUGCAUGCAAAAACCACUGAGCUGUAUAAUAACUGGAGGACCUGCUCCUAUGUAUUGCCAAAAACAUGGUGGAUUUGAUGUGAUCUUAGAAAUGCCCUCUGAACCCGAUGCCAAAGUGCAUGCAACCUUUUCCUCCUAUAAAAAUCACAAUACUAAAAAUCACAACAUGCAAAGCGGCUUAUUGGUAUUUCCCCUCGAGGAGACGUUGUAUUUGUAUCCGAGCUUUAUGCUGGCAACAGAUCAGAUCAACAAAUUACAAGAGAUUUUGGCAUCCUAAACUUGCUUGAGCCCAAGGAUGAAAUUAUGGCUGACAGAGGGGUUGCCAUUGAAGGAGAGUUGCCAAGCGGGAUCUCACUAAAAAUACCACCCUUUUCGCACAAUCAACCCCAGCUUUCGGAACAGCCGAUGAAGUUACAACCAGGCGAAUUGCAAAGCAUCCCAUAGAGAGAACAAUACAAAGGAUUAAAAGCUAUUGCAUUCUACAUCAGACCUUAAUUUUAGCAUGGCUGUAGAUCUAAAUAGAAUUUUGAUCAUAUGUUCUUAUCUGACCCUAUUUAAUAAACCGCUAAACUUACUUAUGUUAUUGAAGUAGUCAGUGCGGAUGACAUUUAUUUUGUUAAACAAAUUUGAAUGUUUAUAACUUAGAUAUAUAUUCAGUUCAUAUGUGUGUACACUCUAUAAUGGGUCAUUCCAGAAAAAUCCACAUCCACUAGACCACUACAGUGAAAAAGAGGCAACUACAUAUUUUCAAUUCCCUUCAAGGGGAAAAUGUGGCAUUUCUAGAACAACCAAAUGUUAAAGAGUAUAAUGUUUAUGAAUGUGUGUAAAAAUUGUUUGCAAAAUUAAUUGCAUGUUUACACAAGCUCCAUUAUGUAAUCGAAAUGAAAGGAAGUUAGUUUGGUAACAUCUUUGAUUCCCAAUUCUGUAAUGUGUAAAAACAACAAACUUAAUUAAGUCAAUUCCCAAACAAUGAAGCAGUCUCGCACUGCUGUUGUUUCCAGAUUACAUUUUGUGACUUCAAAUGGGAUAUUUGUCUUACAGUAAUUUUGUGUUUCUUCUUUUUACAGUUGACCAGUAUUUGUGCAUAUCAUCAAUUGAUUUUAAGAGACAAUGCCUUUUUGUAAGUAUGCAAGAAACACUGGAUUCUGAUUGGAUAAUUAUCGCUCGCGCAUGCCCAGUACAUGAUGUCUGUUCAGGAUGCUUUGAUCUUGCCAUUCUUGAUUCUGCAUGAAACUCCAUUCGUUUCUGCAUGGAAUUCUUUAUAAACAGCCCUAGUUUUCCUUUUUCAUUCAAAAACUGAACGGAGAAAUACGGCCAGCCAACGUACUAAUAUUUUGUAAUACGCCCUCAGAUGUUUAUUUAAUAAUUAAGAAUAGGCGUUUUAUGGGCCUUGCCUAUAUUAAUGUCGCACUACCUGACAAUCAAAUUGGCUCUCCACCAAUGGGAAUUUUACGUUGUUUAGACAACGCCGUGUUCAUAUUUGUCUCUAAUCAGCUGUAUAAAAGGCGUUAAGGCCACGCGAGUUGACGCAUAAUGAUAAUAGUCGUGAUCGGUAUUAAUUGGAUAACCGGUUUAAAUGAUAAUGAGAGUUGAUAUGAUUUGCCGUCAAACAUUGUUCAGGGGAUAUUUCAAGCAUGUAUAUUAACAAAAAAAGUCAAGUCAAUAGCUUCACUUACAUGUCGAGUCAAUGGCUUGAUGACUUGAGUUAAGGAAACAGUUGAAUUUGAGUUGACUCAGUCAAGGAAUUUGAUAAAUUUCGCACCACAUAUUCUCUAAUGGAUCAGUACGCUGACUGGCAAUCUGUGAAAUUACUGAUCAAUCAGAUCCACCUUAAUAAAAUUUAAAUAAAUAUUGAAUUUCAGUCAUUUAAUAAUCUCAUUAUCCAUUACAUGUAAAAUUAUCCAGGGCUUUAUUUAUAAAUUACUUGUUUUUUUAAACCAUUUGGAUUAGUAUUAUAUUAUGUUUGUGAUGUUACUCUGAGUGUGUAUCCACACGGGGCAAGCUUGAAAAAUAUGCCUGGCCACGGUGGGAAUCGAAUACAAAUUAUAUACAAUGUUGUGUAAUUUCUUAUAACAUUAUAUCCCAAACUUUAGCGUUGUAAAUGUUUCUUUAACACCAGUUUAAUUCUGUUUCCUUCACUGUUAUUUUCCAUAUCAUACCCAACACUUCGCACGGUUAUAAACCUGCCAUGUAAUUUCCUCAUAAUCUAUUGCGCAUUUUGCAUGUCAUCAGGCUUCUACAAAUUCAUUAUUUGCCAAUGAUGUUAAAUUCAACUCUUCUAAAGGUUUUGCGCACAGAAUAUACGAAGAUGUGGUAACUUUAUGAAUUAAAUUCCAUGUUUGUCCGCCAAGACAAAAACUGCUAGGCGCUCCCCAGGACGCACCCUUCCCAACAGCCCAUGCAGCCCCUUCAUGCGUCGCCUGCCUGCCUGCCUGAACACUUCAUGUAUCCUAAAUGGUGUAUAUCCCUCAUAUAUUUAAAGCGCCUGGGUACGAGGCAGACUCUUGCAUGUGCCUGAUUUUUAAAUUGUACACAAGACCAUGCAUUUUAAUUUUAACAGGUGCAUUUCAACUUAAAAAACAAGGUACAAAAUUAGCCAUUAAAGACACUAAUAAAGCCUAUUUGUUUUUAGGGCGUUGUCGAGCUAUGCAUUCUUCCACUUCAAAGCAACCUAAAUAAACUGAAAUUGAACUGCAAACAACUUC